AGUCCCAGCUACUCGGGAGGCUGAGGCAGGAGAAUGGCGGGAACCCAGGAGGCGGAGCUUGCAGUGAGCCGAAAUCGCGCCACUCACUCCAGCCUGGGCGGCAGAGGGGAGACUCCGCCUCAAAAAAAAAAAAAAAAAAAAAAAAAAAAAAAAAAGCAAAAAACGCAGCAUCAAGGCGGGGCGGACUGAAAGGAGAGCAGUGCAGGAAGAAGCACCCGGGGCGCUGCCUGGGGCUCGGAAGCCUCCAAGGGGCCACGCCCAGCCUGGAAUAACCGACUGUGGAGACAAUGGAUGAAUGACAGAAAUGAAACAACUCAGGGAAAACCCAGCGGUGCGGGAGGCUGCGGUGGGACCCUGGCGAGCCGGACCCGGCUGCUGCUGGACAAUGCACUUGCCUUCUCUUCCUGGAGAUUGACACUCGUGAUUGUUUUCACCGUGCACUCCAAGUGCUGUCUCCUCCAGGAGAGACCACGAACAGCGAAGACUCUUAAUCGCCUACUACAUGACCUUCUUCUCAUGGAAGAAUCAACCAACCCUUCCUCUACAGUGAAUGAGGGACCUGUGCUCUUCACCCACUCACUGUGCUAUUUCUCUUUGAAAUCAGUCAAUCUUGUGGUUCUUUCCCUCUAUUUUAUAAUUUUUUGACUAACUUUUCAAGGACUAUAAACAGCUUUUUUUUUUUUUUUUUUAGACUGAGUCUCGCUCUGUCUCCCAGGCUGGUGUGCAGUGGCCGGAUCUCAGCUCACUGCAAGCUCCGCCUCCCGGGUUCCCGCCAUUCUCCUGCCUCAGCCUCCCGAGUAGCUGGGACUACAGGUGCCGCCACCACGCCCGGCUAAGUUUUUGUAUUUUUAGUAGAGACGGGGUUUCACCGUGUUAGCCAGGAUGGUCUCUAUCUCCUGAUCUCGUGAUCCGCCUGUCUCGGCCUCCCAAAGUGCUGGAAUUAUAGGCGUGAGCCACCACGCCCAGUACUAUAAACAGUUUUAAUGCCUCUACCAUCUUGGGUAAAGCUUACCUAGCGUGAGCCCUACACGCUUAUGUACUUACAUUUACCUUCCCCACUUCAUGGAGUCCACAUCCACCACCGGACUUACCUGAAACCACACUGAUCACUCUUCAGUUCUUACAGCUCCCCUGAAAUGCUCUGGGGAGAAGAAAAUAAUGUCUUUCUCACCUCAAAACUCACACACUCUUUUUUUUAACAUCUUCCUGUCGCCAUUGACCUCAGAUUCCCUGGUACUUGGUCCACCACAUGGCUCCGUGAGUCCCUGAUUCUCACGACCAUGCGGUACACAGGGCGAGUGGCCUCUCCUGAAUGAACGCCUUAGAUGCCAACCCCUGUCAAGUUCAGCACGGCAAAGACACAGUGGGGACAGGGGCAUUGAGGUGGAGCUGAGGCUUCCCUGAUGGGAUAUUUUAAACCUGUUCAUUGCAAGACCUCUUCUGUCUAUGCUGUCACAAAAGGAAUAAAUAAGAUGUGUUUAUAAGUUUCA
Molecule: long non-coding RNA, 1490 nt
Filed under: Piliocolobus tephrosceles (Ugandan red Colobus)
Lineage: Eukaryota; Metazoa; Chordata; Mammalia; Primates; Cercopithecidae
Description: lncRNA (ENSPTEG00000021300.1)
Source: RNAcentral